CCUACGGGAGGCAGCAGUGAGGAAUAUUGGUCAAUGGCCGUAAGGCUGACCCAGCAAAGUCGCGUGAAGGAAGAAGGAUCUCUGGUUUGUAAACUUCUUUUUUAGGGGAAUAAAGGUAUCCACGUGUGUAUAUUUGCAUGUACCCUAUGAAUAAGCAUCGGCUAACUCCGUGCCAGCAGCCGCGGUAAUACGGAGGAUGCGAGCGUUAUCCGGAUUUGUUGGGUUUAAAGGGUGCGUAGGUUGGUUUUUAAGUCAGCGGGGAAAGUUUGUGGCUCAACCAUAAAAUUGCCGUUGAAACUGGAAGACUUGAGUGUGUUUGAGGUAGGCGGAAUGCGUUGUGUAGCGGUGAAAUGCAUAGAUAUAACGCAGAACUCCGAUUGCGAAGGCAGCUGACUAAGCCAUAACUGACACUGAAGCACGAAAGCGUGGGGAUCAAACAGGAUUAGAUACCCUAGUAGUC
Molecule: ribosomal RNA, 460 nt
Filed under: uncultured bacterium
Lineage: Bacteria
Description: partial 16S ribosomal RNA
Rfam family: Bacterial small subunit ribosomal RNA
Source: RNAcentral